CCUACGGGCGGCAGCAGUGGGGCAUAUUGCACAAUGGGGGAAACCCUGAUGCAGCGACGCCGCGUGGGUGAUGGAGUAUUUCGGUAUGUAAAGCUCUAUCGGCAGGGAAGAAUUUGAACGGUACCGGACUAAGAACCCCCGCCUAACUACGUGCAAGCAGCGGCGGUAUUACGUAGGGGGAAAGCGUUAUCCGGAUUCACUGGGUGAAAGGGGGGCGUAGACGGCCAGGCAAGCAUGGAGUGAAAGCCCGGGGCCCAACCCCGGGACUGCUCUGGGAACUGUCUGGCUGGAGUGCGGGAGGGGCAGGCGGAAUUCCUAGUGUAGCGGUGAAAUGCGUAGAUAUUAGGAGGAACACCAGCGGCGAAGGCGGCCUGCUGGACCGCGACUGACGUUGAGGCUCGAAAGCGUGGGGAGCGAACAGGAUUAGAUACCCCAGUAGUC
This 441-nucleotide ribosomal RNA is filed under the name uncultured bacterium. Its description in RNAcentral is "partial 16S ribosomal RNA". It matches the Rfam family "Bacterial small subunit ribosomal RNA", at positions 338 to 795 of the family's 1533-position model. The record is from RNAcentral.